RNAcentral lists this ribosomal RNA (279 nucleotides) under uncultured bacterium. RNAcentral describes it as "partial 16S ribosomal RNA". It matches the Rfam family "Bacterial small subunit ribosomal RNA", at positions 506 to 784 of the family's 1533-position model. The record is from RNAcentral.
UGCCAGCAGCCGCGGUAGUACGGCGGGGGUUAGCGUUGUUCGGAAUUACUGGGCGUAAAGCGCACGUAGGCGGAUUAGAAAGUUAGAGGUGAAAUCCCGGGGCUCAACCCCGGAACUGCCUUUAAAACUACUAAUCUUGAGUUCGGAAGAGGUGAGUGGAAUUCCUAGUGUAGAGGUGAAAUUCGUAGAUAUUAGGAAGAACAUCAGUGGCGAAGGCGACUCACUGGUCCGAUACUGACGCUGAGGUGCGAAAGCGUGGGGAGCAAACAGGAUUAGAUA